CGAGGUUUGAUUCAUGUUCCACUUCUCGCCUACUCGGUCUACUACUAAACGCAUUCCAGUUUGCGCGGUAGACUCGUGGGCGGAAUCAACAACUGAUUCGAACCUG
Acyrthosiphon pisum (pea aphid) is the source of this 106-nucleotide non-coding RNA. The record is from Rfam. Lineage: Eukaryota; Metazoa; Arthropoda; Insecta; Hemiptera; Aphididae.